GACGAACGCUGGCGGCGUGCCUAAUACAUGCAAGUCGAACGCUUUUUCUUUCACCGGAGCUUGCUCCACCGAAAGAAAAGGAGUGGCGAACGGGUGAGUAACACGUGGGUAACCUACCCUCAAGCGGGGGAUAACAUUUGGAAACAGAUGCUAAUACCGCAUAACAAUUAGAGAAGCAUUUCUUUAAUUUGAAAGGCGCAACUGCGUCACUUGAGGAUGGACCCGCGGUGCAUUAGCUAGUUGGUGAGGUAACGGCUCACCAAGGCCACGAUGCAUAGCCGACCUGAGAGGGUGAUCGGCCACACUGGGACUGAGACACGGCCCAGACUCCUACGGGAGGCAGCAGUAGGGAAUCUUCGGCAAUGGACGAAAGUCUGACCGAGCAACGCCGCGUGAGUGAAGAAGGUUUUCGGAUCGUAAAACUCUGUUGUUAGAGAAGAACAAGGAUGAGAGUGGAAAGUUCAUCCCUUGACGGUAUCUAACCAGAAAGCCACGGCUAACUACGUGCCAGCAGCCGCGGUAAUACGUAGGUGGCAAGCGUUGUCCGGAUUUAUUGGGCGUAAAGCGAGCGCAGGCGGUUCUUUAAGUCUGAUGUGAAAGCCCCCGGCUCAACCGGGGAGGGUCAUUGGAAACUGGAGGACUUGAGUGCAGAAGAGGAGAGUGGAAUUCCAUGUGUAGCGGUGAAAUGCGUAGAUAUAUGGAGGAACACCAGUGGCGAAGGCGGCUCUCUGGUCUGUAACUGACGCUGAGGCUCGAAAGCGUGGGGAGCAAACAGG
Molecule: ribosomal RNA, 776 nt
Filed under: uncultured Enterococcus sp.
Lineage: Bacteria; Bacillati; Bacillota; Bacilli; Lactobacillales; Enterococcaceae
Description: bacterial SSU rRNA
Rfam family: Bacterial small subunit ribosomal RNA
Source: RNAcentral